RNAcentral lists this ribosomal RNA (106 nucleotides) under uncultured bacterium. RNAcentral describes it as "partial 16S ribosomal RNA". It matches the Rfam family "Bacterial small subunit ribosomal RNA", at positions 405 to 508 of the family's 1533-position model. The record is from RNAcentral.
AGGAUGAAGGCCCUCUGGGUUGUAAACUUCUUUUAUUUGGGACGAAAAACGGAAAUUCUUUUCCACUUGACGGUACCAGAUGAAUAAGCACCGGCUAACUCCGUGC